RNAcentral lists this unclassified non-coding RNA (386 nucleotides) under fungal sp. RNAcentral's name for it is "partial internal transcribed spacer region". The stretch from base 1 to 46 matches the Rfam family "Eukaryotic small subunit ribosomal RNA", at positions 1786 to 1831 of the family's 1831-position model. RNAcentral also lists the same sequence under 1 other name. The record is from RNAcentral. Lineage: Eukaryota; Fungi.
AAGUCGUAACAAGGUUUCCGUAGGUGAACCUGCGGAAGGAUCAUUAACACGUAUCCACGUUAAUCACCCGAGAACUUACUUAGGAGUAGCUGAGGAUCAAGUAAAAAGCUUCGGCUCCGGCCCCCUUUUUCCUUUCUUCUCGAUCGGAACGAGUGGGACAUUGACCCUCAGCUUUCCUAUGCUGGUAUUCAUCUCUUCGGAGAUGAACACCAACAACAAGAACCUUGCGCGGAGUCUCUCGGGACUCUUCAAAGGGUUCUUGACGAGUAAACACCUUUUUUUUCUUUGCCUUGUGCAAAGGAAAAGAAAACCCUAAAAGCCGUCUCUUUGUAGACCGCUUUUAACCGAAUACUGUACAACUCUUAGCAACGGAUAUCUUGGUUCUG